Molecule: non-coding RNA, 30 nt
Filed under: Mus musculus (house mouse)
Lineage: Eukaryota; Metazoa; Chordata; Mammalia; Rodentia; Muridae
Source: RNAcentral
UACUACAAACGUUUCNGCAGAGCCUGCUCC